This 20972-nucleotide long non-coding RNA is filed under the name Aquilegia coerulea. RNAcentral's name for it is "long non-coding RNA (ACOE_LNC000423)". The record is from RNAcentral. Lineage: Eukaryota; Viridiplantae; Streptophyta; Magnoliopsida; Ranunculales; Ranunculaceae.
UCUCAUUCUAUCUCAUUUUCCUUCUUCUCACUUUCUCUGCAUUCUUUCUUCAAUUCCAAGCAAAAUCAUCAACAAACUUUCUUUAAACUCACUCCAAGCAAUCUCUAAUCUCUAUAUAUCAUGUAAUCUUUCUUUCUAUCAAACAAUUUUAUCAUUUUUAAAAUCCUAGAUUUACAAAAAAAAUGUGAAAGUGAAAACUGUCGAAAAUUUAGUUUUAAAGGAUGGUGAUGAAAUAAGAGCAUCAGAAGAAGAAAUAAAACAAUCAAAUGAAGAAAUUGAAAGAUUAGAAGAAGAGAUUGAAGAAUCGCAAGAAGAACCAGAAGAUUCAAAUGAUAUAAAUUAAAUUGUUCUCUCAUAUCUUUCUUUUAGUCUUUAAAAACUCUUUUUUUUGUAAGUUUUACAUAUUAAAGUACUCAAUUUCUUUUAGUGUACAAGUUGAUCAAUAUGUUGAUCAACACUGUUGUGCGCAGCGGAAACUAAUGCACAAAUAUGAUUGAACUAGUGUAUGAAAGUAAAACAGAAAACGACAAAAGUAAACAAGCAAUCACACACAAGACACAAGAUAUACGUGGUUCGGCAAUAUGCCUACGUCCACGGGGAGAAAGGAUGAUGCUUUUCUUUCACAAGACAAUUGUACAAGCCCUCACGAAGAAACCGAAGUCUUCUUCCUCACAAAAGUUCUCUCAAACUCUCUAAUGGCUUCUCACAAUCUCUCUCUUAGAAAAGUUAAGGUUUUGAACAAUUCUAUUUGGCUUUAUAGUAUAGCCUUACAAUAGCCACGAGUUGGGCUCAAAACAGGCCCAUAUUGCACAAAACAAGAGGAGGACGUACGUACGUCGAAAUCACGUACGUACGUUACAACACGGAGAAGUUAUCUGACGUACGAACGCCUUAACUGCGUACGUACGUUCCUUCCCUGCAAAGUGAUCUGCCACAUUGGACGUACGAACGCCCUAAAGCCGUUCGUACGUUCCUGAACAAAAAAAACUUCCCCUUCUCCUGAAUUGCACAUAAAACCCAACAAACACAACUAAUAUUAUAUAUGUAGUUCAUGUUCAUCAGCAUGUUGAUAAACUCGAAUAGUUGUUGAUAGGCAUGUUGAUCAAAUCAAAUUGAAUUCAUCAAAUUAAUCAAAAUCAAAAAUUACAAACAUCGUGAACAAUCUUGUGUUUCUGAUAUUGGAAGGUUAUGCAUUUUGAGUGUUAUCAAUUGUUGUGUUAUAAUUUAAGUGUUAAGUUGAUGUAUAAGUUAAUCAAAUCAGUAUAUGUAUAUUGAUCAACUCAGUAUUUGUUGAUCAGCAUAUUGAUCGUAUAUUGGUAGAUCAACAUAUUAAUCAACUUGAUCGUAUAUUGGUAGAACAUAUUAAUCAACUUGAAAUUGGUUGAUUAACUCAAUUCAAUGUUGAUCAACAUAUUAAUCAAUCCUGACAUGUAAAACAUCAUGUUAGCAAAACAUAGAUCAUCAUGAGAUGUCAUGAGAAUAAAAAACAUCAUGAACGUAUUCAACAAAAGUUUAAUUGAAGAAAACUUAAUCCAAUUCAACAAGAAGAUGAACAAAAAACAACAAAAACACCCAAAUUCAAUUGCAAAGUUUGAUAAACAAAUUGAACAAACAAAAUCAAAUUCAUCAUACUAAAACCUAAUUGAUGAAAAAAAAAAAUCCAAAAAUAAAACAAGUUGAAUAGACAAAAUCAUAAUGUUUACUUCAUCAACAAUGAAAAAGUAACUUUGAUUUUCCAUUCAUUAAGUUUGAUGUUAAUGGAACAAAAAACAACAAUCUCAAAUCUCUAAAGAAUCUUCUUCUUCUUCUUUACGAGGGAGUACCUCAUUUAUCUAUGUUGUUUAAUUCAUGAGUUAUUCUUUAAUUCGCACCCUGCAUCAACUGCCAUUCACACAAUAUUUUCCUCGAAGCCAACAAAAUUAACUGAAAGCAUGCAAGAAAGAGAUACAUAACAAAUUAACCAAUUCAUGCUCAAUGCUAAUCAGACUUGAUAAUUUGAUCAAAAGCAUUGUGUCCCAACAGUAUGGAAAUAAUGUGAUGAAGAUCUGAUUGUUGCGAGCGGCAUUUGUGUGUUACAUUGCACCAUAGGAUAUAUAAUUUCUAAUAUUACAGUAAAUUAGAAGCUUAAAGCCUUAAACAACAACUGAAAUUCAAACAGGCUUAAAAGAAGGCUCUCCCUGCUAAGAAACUGAUAUUAAGGAAUAAAGUACAACCAGUCUAACAAACUCCCCAUUUUAUAUAUUGUUUUCUCUCUUACAAUCAAUCUUUCCAACUUUUUAGAGCUUUUUCCUCUGUCUCCUUUUCUGAAAUUUUGUCAUCUUGUACUAAUGGAGUACACGAACUCCCUUAUGGAAGAAUUUUAUGUUCAAAAUGAAUUGGCAGAGCAAGGAAGGCGAGGUCGUCAAGGGAAGAAUAUAAAUGAUGAUACACAAUUUAAGUCGAAGAACCUUGAAGCUGAACGAAGGAGGAGGCAUAAACUCAAUGAAAGACUGAUCAAUCUUCGGCUCUUCACGCAUUAGUUCCAAAUAUUACAAAUGCAAUCAUUUUAACCUCUAAAUAAUUAAAUACCUUUUACUCGAUAUACCUUCUUUCUUUAAUUUACUGUGUUGUCAUUGCAGCCACUUUCUAUGUGAUUAUAAAUUUGGUUUGUUGUUGUCUUUUAGAUGAACAAAGCGACAAUCAUUGACGAUGCCAUCACCUACAUUACCGGACUACAGAAGCAUGUGAAGGCUCUUGGUGAUCAGAUAAGGGAGAUGGAAACUCGGGAGACAGAGAAACAAGGAAGUGUAGGCGGCAGGGUGCAAGAGGAACAGAUUGAGAAACUGCAAUAGAGGUAACAAAGUCUUGUUUAUUAGUAUUCCUAGUUUAAUAUAGAACUGUUGCAUGAACAAAAUCUUACUUCAUUGAUUUAAUUUCGCCCUGUUGUAGGCUGAAGUAAAAGUGAUUUGCCUUGACGAGCGUAGGCUAUGAUUUAAGAUAUUUUGUGAUAGCAAGCGAGGGGGGUUCACCAAACUGAUGGAGAUUAUGAAUAGUCUUGGUUUUGAAAUCACAGAAAUACGUUACCACAUCCAAAAGCAUUGUGUCCCAACAGUAUGAAAAAUUAGAAUAAGGCCUUACAGCCUAAUUCUGUUAUUGUUAUUCUGUUCAUAUAUGAAAAUAAUGAAGCUCAUUUACUAAAAACCAGUUAAGCAUGAACAUACUCUGAAGCUCAAUUAGCUCAGCUCAAAUCGCAUUCGUAAAGCUCAAGGAGUAAUUGAUUUGUCUAUGUUUGCAAUGAUUCUUGUAUGUUCAGUACUGUUACCAUAUAGAUGAUAUAGUGAAUGUGACGCGCAUAAAAGUGUAUAGAUAAUACGUAGUGAAUGGCCCUGUAGAAGCAGUUUAUGAAUAUUUGAUACCCUUUCGUGUGUGUCACAUUCACUACGUAUCCAUCAAAAGGCUUCUACAAGACUUAUGUUCUACUCUGAAAUAAAAUUAAGCCAUAAUGAGCUGCAGCUACUAAAUUACAAGAUUCCAGUGGCAUGAAAUUAAAAGUGAGAUUAAGAAAAACAGUUAAAAGAUAAAAUGGUCUUUGCUGAUUAUUAUCUGUCAUUUCAUAGAGCUGGUGAUUCUCUACUUUCCUUGUCCCCCAUGAAAGGAAUCCAACAAAGAAAGAAAGAUGGUGAAAUGCAAGCAUAUAAAGAAAACUGUACAAACAAAAGAAGCUUUUUUCUCUUCUUUAUCACAGCUCAUCUAGCUACAUUUUUAGUCUAUGUUUGAUUUAUUAUACCAUUUACCAUACACUUCUCCACUUUAUUCUGAUUCUCCCUUCUUUACCAAGACUUAUAACUAUGAACUAUUCAUCAUGCAUAUCCUUCACAAGUGAGCAAUAAUAAGCCCUGUUAGUUAACACAUCGAUCUCUCCUGCUCUCGAUCGAUCCCCAUCUUCUCCUUCUCCCUGUCUUCUGUUCAUCUGUUCAUAUAUCCAUCUUCAGAGGUGCUACCAUAACUUGAAAAUGGGAAAAGGAAUUGGUCCUUUUAUCUGUAUCCUGAUCAUAGUAAUGGAUAUUAUAGCCGGAAUACUAGGGAUCGAGGCUGAAAUCGCUCAAGACAAGGUGCAAUUACAAUUUUUUUUUCCUUUGUCAAUAACAUGAUACAUGAUCGAACAUUAUACAGUAGCUAGAUACAUUCAGACAUUCUGAAACAGCUGGUUAAUUUUUUGUUGCAUGCAGGUCAAACAUUUAAAACUUUGGAUCUUUGAGUGCAGAGAUCCUAGUCGUCAAGCUUUCAAUCUGGGGUUAUCUGCAGCCUUUAUUUUAGGCUUAACUCAUGUUAUAGCUAAUUUGCUUGGUGGAUUUGUUUGUAUUUGUUCCAAAGAUGAAAUGGAUAAAUCCACUGCUAACAAGCAGUUAGCUGCAGCUUGUCUCAUUCUCUCAUGGUAUGUAUUAUUAUUAUAUUUUUCAUACUUUGUACUAAUAUAUAUAUUAUGCCAGAAAGUGAUUUCUUGGAUCAGAAUUCACCUCCAUGACCAUGAGGGGUUUUGUUUUAUGAUCUAGCUAAGCAUAUAUUUAAUUAAUCUUUAAUCACAUGCAAUUUCAUAAGCUAAGCUUGUAGAGUGUAGUCAAAUCUCCAUCACAGACAACUAAACUUGUAUGCUAAUGUUUCCAAUGAUCUGCAGGAUCAUAUUGGCAGUUGCAUUCUCAAUGUUAAUUAUCGGAACCUUGGCAAACUCAAAAUCAAAAGGAUCUUGUGGGAUUUCUCAUAAUCGAUUUCUUUCAAUCGGAGGAAUAUUGUGCUUUGUUCAUGGAUUAUUUUGUGUAUCUUAUUAUGUUUCUGCAACUGCAACCAAUGAAGAAGCCAAAAGAUCAGGUCAUCAUCAAGGCAGUAGUGCAGUUGUAUAGUAUAGCUGAUAUAUAUAGCCUGAUAGCAAGAUGAAAUCAUUUCCAUCAUCCUGUAACCUUAGUCUAGAAUGAUCCUAUUGCAUAACGAGAUCAUUUUUUUUUUUUUUUUUUUUUUCUGCUUUUGUAUUUUAACCAUUGAUUUCUAAUUUAAAUCUUUGAUUUUGAUUACGUUUUUUCUAAAUUUUUCUACUACAAUUAAAAUAUACCAUGGGCCAAGAUCUUGGACUUAAUGAAGGGCUUUAAUUGGCCCAAGGAAUAUCUGUCACUUAUUGGGCUUUAACAGCCCGAAUGAAAUCACGAUUUUAGGUCCAUUUGUUGAUGAAGAAAACACAAAACCAACUAAACUUUCCCCGAUCCAAAAUCGUCAAAAGAUCUCAAUCUCACCGUUGAAUAAUUUCUAAUCCAACGACUCUCACCUCGAUCCGUGUCCUUUAAUCUGAUUGGUUGAUUACCAAAAACACAACUAUAUAUACCCCUAAAACGCAUUCACUCCCACGCAAUUCUCUUUCUCACCGCUUCAGCACUUUCUCUCUCUUCGUUUCUUUCUCUCUCUUCGUUUCUUCGAUCUCAACAACAACAAGAACAACAAUGGCGGGAAGAGGUAAGAUGCUUGGAUCUGGUUCGAAGAAAGCAACAUCAAGAAGUAGCAAAGCCGGUCUUCAAUUCCCGGUCGGUCGAAUUGCUCGGUUCUUGAAAGCUGGUAAAUAUGCUGAACGUGUUGGUGCUGGUGCUCCGGUUUAUCUCGCUGCCGUUCUUGAAUAUCUCGCCGCCGAGGUAAAUUUUGAUUUCUGUUUCUCAUUAUUUAGGGGGUUUCGUUUAAAAAAUUUUCCCAAAUUGAAUUGAUUUGUGAUUUAUGUGUUGAAAUUGACAAUAAUACCCUUUGAAUAGGUUCUUGAAUUAGCUGGAAAUGCGGCAAGAGAUAACAAGAAGACUCGGAUUGUUCCACGACACAUUCAAUUGGCAGUAAGGAAUGAUGAAGAACUAAGCAAACUUCUUGGUGCUGUUACUAUUGCUAAUGGUGGAGUUAUGCCUAACAUUCAUAACCUUCUUCUUCCAAAGAAAGCCAAUACCAAAGCAUCUGUUGCUGAUGAUGAAUGAAUGGUGGGGUGUUAGAUUCAUGCUGCUGUAUAUGAUGAAUGAAUGAAGCGUGCUCUCUUUGGAAAAAAGUGUGUUUCUCUCUCUAAUUGAGUUUUUUUUUUUUUUUCUGUCAGUUUAGUAGUUUAGGGUAAUUGUUUAGUUGGGUAGUUUGUUGUGUUGAGGAUGUUGAUAAUAUCUGUUCUUUAACUCAUGAAUUACAAUGAAUGAAAUGAUCAGAUUUAUUGAGUUGAAUUGAAUUGAAUUGAUUUUAGAUCUUGAAUUUGUUACCAAUUGGAUUUUUUUGUUGAAGAAUUCUAAAUUUAACAAACACAAUCUAUUAAGAGGUUUGUUGCCUUUUAAUCAAUAUAGCCUUGUUUGCAAAUUAGAUUAUAGAAUUGUUGGAAUCACAAGUUUGUAAUGGAAAGCAAUCUGAGUGCAUGAUUAUUGAAUUCCACAUUUAGAUGAAUCACAAGAUUUAGUAUUAAAUGUGUCAAGUGUACUGUAAAUGAACUAACUUUUAGGUGCAUAUUGGUAUGAGCAGUGUGCACAAACUUUGGGUGCUCUGGAUGUAAUCAUGUUAGUAUUGUUCUUGGUAGAGAAGAUCAUCUAUACCCAAAUCUGAACUCAGUAACUGACAUCAGUGUGGUUACAAGUUUCAAGUGUUCAUUCAACAUCAAUGAGUUUGGUUUCAGUUACAAGUUUCAACUACCCAGGCUAGAACUGUAGCAUCUUUUAUACAGUUUGCUAAUCACAUAUCAAUUCAUGUUAAGAUGGGUUAGAAAGCAUUGAAAGUAGACAAUCUACAGUAAUUUGUGUUUUCGAAUAAUGGGUGACCGCUUUUUCUAAUAUAAACUUCAAAUGUGCUAUUAUUUGUUGAAUCUGAAAGAAUAUCUCCCCAGUAAUUACACAUAAAAAGAGACUUCUUCAAAAGCAAACAGAAAAUUUCAUACCUAUUAGCUAUUAGACUUUUAGAAACAAAGUCAACCAAAAAACAACAUUUAGAAUCAUAAAUCUAACAUCUUACUAUGUUUUGCUUUACAUUAAGAUAAGAGAUCAGUAAUACUUUCUUUAAUCAUCAGCAUUCAGCAGGAGCAGCAGCCUGCCAACUUGCUAUCAAGUCUAUACAAUUAAAGAGUUACACUAAGAUGAAAUCAUAAGUUUUGCUUAUGGAAAUCAAAUAGGUUGAACCAAUUUACCCAAAUCGAGUCAUAAUCAAGACAGAAGAUACCAAUCGAUUUCAGUUACUUUCAUCAUGUUAUUAAUAGAACAUUAAUUAAAACCAGAAGAACAAAAGAAAUCACACAAAUUUCCACAAAAAAUAAACACAAUUAAAGCCAAGCUUUUUUUCAUUCAAAAUUCACUUCUAAAUCUUGCAACAAGAUACAAAUCAAACUAAACAACUACGAUUAGAAAGAUGAAACAAACCCUAAAUGACUAAAUCUAACAUCAUUUUCGUGUUUCUAUGUUUUUUUUUCUCUACAUCUAAACAUCAGUUUCCAGCUUUCUUCCUUCAUCAGCAGGAACAGCAGCUUUAGAACCAGCUUUCUUAGGCAACAAAAGACUAUGAAUAUUAGGCAUAACUCCACCAUUAGCAAUUGUAACAGCACCAAGCAACUUGCUCAACUCUUCAUCAUUCCUUACUGCUAACUGAAUAUGUCUUGGAACCACUCUUGUCUUCUUAUUAUCUCUUGCAGCAUUUCCAGCUAAUUCCAAAACCUAAUCAAACAAAAUCCCCAAAUUCAAACAUCAAAAAUUUGAAAUCAAAUUAGGGGAAAAGGGUUUAGAAAGAAACCCUAGAAAAAACUAACUAACCUCAGCAGCAAGAUAUUCAAGAACAGCAGCGAGAUAAACAGGAGCACCAGCACCAACUCGUUCAGCAUACUUUCCAGCUUUCAGAAACCUAGCAAUUCUUCCAACGGGGAAUUGAAGACCAGCUUUGCUACUUCGAGAUGUUGAUUUCUUUGAAGCACCAGAACUUCCAAGAGCUUUUCCUCUUCCUGCCAUUGUUAUUGUUUAAAGAAAAUUGCAGAGAUUUUCGAAGAAGAAUUGUGAAUUUAAUGGAUUUCUUAGUGGUGUAUUUAUAAUAGAAAGUGAAGGAAUUUGAUUGGUUAGAAAGGAUUGACAAGGAUUGAUAGGUUUCGCCGUUGGAUUGUUUUGAAUAGAAUGGACGGUUUGGAUGAGUUGAAUAAAGUGAAGGAAUCUGAUUGGUUUGAAAUGAUUGACAAGGAUUGUGAGUUUUCGCCGUUGGAUUGUUUUAAAGAGAAGGUGACUGUUGGAUGAGAAGCUCAACAAAAGCGGUUUUGAAAUUUGUUUGUUCUCUCUCAUUCAAGCGGACGACACGCACACGUAGGAAAAGUAAAAGUUAAAAAUGUGCCCAUUGUUUGACCAUAUUACCCCUCUUCUCAACUGGGCCGGUGUUCUCUUAGCAUUGUGGACUGCAGAGAAUGGGCUUUAUUAACGUAUGUUAAUUCAUCAAUGAAGGUGCAACCAUGCCCCAAGUUCAUCCAUUUUUUUUUUUCAAAGCAAAUUUUAUUGAUAAAAAUUCUAAGAAUUAUACAAAGUUAGACGACAAACGCGCUACAAACUGUGCUGCCACCUAAGUAUCCACAUCGCCACCUCGCUGCUUGAGCAAUACUGCUACACAGGGACUUGCUUUCGCUGAAGAACACCAGACGGCCACAUCAUGUCAUCAUGGGAGCAUGGGCCUCCUAAUCACGAACCAGACCCGAAGGCUUUGACCCACCUAAGAAUUAGGUGAGAAACCCCAAGCGCUCCUUAUGGGAAUUGACCACAAUCUCCCACUCGUGGGAGUGUACGAGAGGAGUACCAAACCAACUGAGCUAGCAGUUCUUUGAUCCAAGUUCAUCCAAUUGAUUUAAGAUUUUUUUUUUAAUAGUCAUAAUAUAUUGAUAAAAAGCUAACCAGCAACAGAGCCAGCAGCAGAGUCAGACAUAUUACAUAAGACAUUGCAGAAAGUUAAAUCAAGGUUCAGUUGUUCAGUUAACCAGGUAGGAGGGAUAGAGAAGAUAUAGGGAUCAUGCAAGCUCUUAUCUGAGUCUGAAGCCAGAAGGUGAGCUGAUUUGUUCCCUGAUCUGAAAAGGAAACUAAAAAUGACAGAAAUAAAAUACUUAGAUAGUGACACUACCCGAUCAAGGAUAGCUGCAGAUUGCCAUGACAGGUUAACAGGUUUUUCAUUCAGAUAAUCCAUUGCAGCUUGACUAUCGGAUUCGAUAACGACGUAUUUCAGUUGCUGCUCGAUCCCUCUUCGAAUCGCUGUCCAAAUGCCUCUACAUUCUGCCUCUUCAGAGGUUUCUGCACACCCAGAUUCGGUACCUGCGAGAAUGAAAGAGCCAGUUGUAGUUCUCAGUAUAAAACCAAUGCUUGAUGCGGAGUCAUCUUCAGCUCUUCCCGUGCAAUAAUGUCUGAAAUUCUUUGGCACAUCAACAGGGCUGGUGGCUUAUGGGGACAAUCUUUCUGGACGAUCCACAGUAAACAUAAGAUGAGUCAGAACAAGAGAUCCAAGAACAAGGAUCCUGCUCCUCUGCAAUUUCUGGCCCCAUAUUCUGGGUGUGCCAUGGGGGAAUAUACCAAUUGGAGUAUUUGCAUGUGUGAAUGCAAUUUCCACAUUUAUCUUUACAUAGCCUGCAUGCCGGGGGGGUCCAAAUUGAAGCUUCAGAGUUGUCGUUGCUGAUGAUAGCCUGCUUACAUUAAAAUCAAUGGUGUUUGCUAUUUUUGAAGGUAAAAUGUGAACUUUUUUGAAAUUUUUUGACAUCUACUCUUCCAUAUUUCCCAGGUUGCAUAAACACAAAAAGAAAAGGGCUCCAAACAUUUGUUUCAACAAGCCAGUUUUUUGGAGGAUUAAUCCACGUGUUAAGCCAAGAGUUUGUGAGCAUGUUUUUGAAAUGUGUAAGUCUAAAAUGAAGGCUUGAUUCAUACCAAACAGCGUGAGUGUAAGGGCAUUCCAACAACAUAUGUCUGAUGUUCUCAAUGCUAUUAUUACAAAGGGAACACAAUUGAGAAGGAAUGUUUAUGAAUCUACCAAUUCUGGCUCUAGUAGGGACCACAUCAUUUAAACAUUCCGAUAGAAAUAGAAAAGAAUGGCAUUAGGAGUAGCUUCCACUUUCUAGAUUUUCAGUAAAAUGUUUAUUUUGGUAAUUGUACUUUGUACGUUUUUGCAGUUUGGUCAUAAAAGUUAUUUUUUGUCAGUUUGGUCAUAAAAUUUACAUUUUGUUAUCAGUUCAGUCAGUUUGGUCAAAAGAGUUGCUCUUAAUGACGACUUAACUUGUGACCAAACUGAUAACAAAAUAUAAGUUUUAUGACCAAACCGACAAAAAAUAACUUUUAUGACCAAACUACAAAAACAUGCAAAGUACACCGACCAAAAUGAACAUUUUAUCGAUUUUCAGAUUAAGUUUUGGAUUAAGGGGUUGAGCCAAGUUUUCAGUUACUAAGGAUCUGUAAAGAGACUUAACGCUAAAGGAUCCCUUUUUGAUUUCCAUCCACAUGAGACUGUCAGAGUAAUACGACCCUUUUAUGGGGAUGUUAGCAAUGUGAGUGGCAGUAUUGUGAUCAAACAUUUGAUUAAUAAGAUUAAGAUCCCAAAGGGCAGAGUUUGGGAUAAUGAGAUGAGAAACAAACUUAGGGGCAGAAUGAGAGUAUGAGAAUCAAUGGGCAAUUGAUUUAAGAUCAAUGGGCAAUUGAUUUAAGAUAAAACCAUGAAAGAAAUUGUAUAUAAACAUUUCCAAUGAACUAAUUCUUUAGAACUUGGAAAAUUUGUAUAUAAACAUUUAUGAACAUAUGCUAAUUCAAACAUUUUGAUGACAUAAAAGAUGUAGUAUUGUCAAUAUUUCCAUGAACACUAUUCAAAUGCACACAUAUUGUAUUCAGUUUUCAGUUUCAAAAUCCCUGGAGCUUGUGGUAUAUACACUCUCAUAAGCUGACAGUUUUAUUGGCCGCUAUAAGCUUCCAUACUCAUGGCAAUUAGAAGAAAAUGAAUGAAUGAAUGAGAGAAUAAACUUACAAACAAUAACAAAGGCAAGAGAAGUAAAAUAAUUGUAAUUAAAGAAAAGCUUUACACAUAAAAUGAUACAAAAAAUAAAGAAACUAUCAACAACUCUCUAACUAUAUAUGUUCAUGAGCUCGACCAGCAUUCUCAAUUUGCCAAAUCAAUGUAAACCUUGGAGCAAAUGGCUUGAUUCUUAAUGUUUUCCCAGUGACAUAUGUGUGAUUAAUUGACUGAUGUUAGAAUCAGAUGGUAGUUACAUUGGUGCUUCCCUUAAAAUGGUCCCUGCAAAAGCAAUGAAUAUCAAUUGCCUCUCAGAGCAAAUCUUGUGAACAAAUUAAUAUACAUUGGGAAAUAGCCGAUCGAUGAUCUGAUCUGGGAUUUAUCAAAACUUCUGAAGUUUCUGCAAGCCUGUAUUCAUGGUUCGAUAUUUGGAGCCGUAUUCAGCAGAAACUUGCCAACAGUGGUUUUAGAGCCCUACAUGAAUGGCAGAAACAUGAACAGAGGUAAUUAGACUCGCACAAACAAUCAUAAGUAUUAGAUAUGAUGAUCACUUUUCUGUCCUUGAACAUAAAGCCAAAGAAAUAGCUCUUACCAAAGAAAGCUAAGAGCCCUCGUCAUCAGAACUGGAGUUAUCCAUUCGACGAUCCAUGAUUGCAGGGAAGAGACGUUCACGCAUGUCUGGAGAAGACGGCACUGAUGGACUCUCCCUAGUUCUUGGCGUUCUUGCUGGUCUUAUUGCCGAAUCUUUUACUUCUUUACAUGUCUUUUCAAUCAUUACUAGGAAAUUUCUAACAAUCACAAACAAACGCAAUCCCUCAUCCUUCUUUGCACUUCCAUGGAAGUAAUCAGCAGUGCUCCUCACCAGAGCCAUUAUCCUUUUUUCUUCCUCCAGUAACCAUGAGAUGUCGACCUCAGCAUUCUGAACAAAACUCUGAAGGGUGCGAUGGAAACCGCUAUCUUCCUCUAAACUUUUCAUAUCUGAGUUUAAAAAUUCCCUGUUUUUACCUAGUGAAUGGCCAAGUUUCGCCACUGUUCCUGAUAAGCCAUCUGCGUCCAGCACUGAUGCCUUCUUGACAUUCUCAAGCUCUCCACCCAAAUGGGAAAUCACCUGAAGACCAAGGCUGCGAUAAUGCUCUUCUGUGUCAUGGAGGGAUUCCUCAAAAAGAUCUUCAGAUUUUACACUAGAGAGGCUCUGGUUCUCUCUGGCUGCACGAGCUGCUCGUACACCUUCAGAGCGAAUUAUCUCUUGGACAACAAAGUGCAAAAGGGUGGUCUUUCCAUCUAUUCCUUUCACAUCCGCUAAUUUUAAGAGUGUGUCAAGUUUAAAAGCUUGUGCACCACCGCGGAAAGUACCAUCAUUCAUGCGGUUACCAGUUUUAAGUACAGCUUCUAAGAGUUUUAGGAACAACCGGCUGUUUCUGAGCUCCUUGCAAGCUACCUGCCAUGUGAAACAAGGAAUUACACAACCAAUCGGUUUAGGAAAGACAUGUGAUCAACUUCAAUAGGCGUAAAACAAGAGUUACAAGUACAAAAGUAUCAACAACAAAUCGGUUUAGUCAACCAGUUUUCCAGAUAUCCCACCUAUAUUUAGCCUUUUUUAUCACUUUCAAGUUUCAACUAUUGAAUAUAUUCAUAACAUAGGCUCCACAUAAAAGAAAUGUAAUUAUCACCAUAGAAUAAUUUCUUUUUCUUUCAGCAUUUGAUCACAUGCUUCUAUAUAUUUAUCAAAACACUUUAGCUAAUAUCUCAAUUUUAGGAAGUUAACAAGAUAAUAAUAUAAGAAAGAUGGUGUGGACUAUCACUUAUCAUAAUUGUUUGACUAAUCACCCUAUUGCAAUCAGAAAAGAAGUGAUAUACUCCAGAGACAAUUCAAUAUAUAGCUGCAACAUGGCAGACAGCCUCAAAGUUAGCCAUUAGGAGGUUGGACUGCUCUACCUUACACCAGGCUGUCAGGCAAUGAGGCAAACAUAUCUAUCAUACCAAUGUAGUAAUACCAUUGAAGUCUAUGAAACACUGGAGCUAGGAUACUAUUAUUUCUCCAACUAUAUUGUAUACCCUACAGUCAAUGCUUCAUUUACUGUCUUUACAAGCAGCUUGAUUGACUUGGGUCAAGCAGGUACGAACAAAUUAAAUCUGUUUGUUUUAUCAUUGUUUUGGGCAGCCAGAACUUAUGACUUUUUUUUUUAUAAGGUUGCAACUUGAAACAGUUCACUCAACUGGGCACCAUCAAUGAAUGGAAUCCCCACAAUUUCCACCAUAUAUGUAUCCUCACUUAAGUAUAUGGCAUUCAUAGACAAGUUCACAAAGAGAGUACCCCGACCAACCAUCUGGAAGGCUUUCUCAAACUGAUAUACCGUUUACUUGGCUAGCAUAUCCCCAAGAUGACUCCAGACUGAAACUUGUCUACUUGUAAAAAGUUCAAGUUUAACCCAAGGAGAGUACCAACAAUGUAUAUCAUUUAUUUUCCCUCCCUUUGUUGUUCUAACUAUAUUAAAAAGAAAGAUGACAAAGGAACUGUAACUAUUGACAAGUGGGCAUCAAUUUUGGUAAGCGAAGAAAGACAUCAGAAGUCUCACCUCUAAAGUUGCCAAGGACUCUUUGACGCUUGAGACUUCCUCUUGAUAAGAAAUCAUGAAACACAAUGAGUCCAGUCUUUUAAAUGCAAAAGGGAUAUUAACCAACACUUUUAAGAACCGCUCUGCUGGGCCUAACUGGGAAAGUUCAUCAUUAUAUAGCCUAAGCUUCAAUUCUUCUUCUGCGCUUGGUGCCAUCUUCAACAAUGUCUGGCAAAGCUCCAAUGGAAGUUCAUUUCCUGGUUUAGUAAAGGCAACAUGUUAUUGAUAAAUUAAAAUAUAUUAUGACAAAGGAAGUAACAUAACAGAAGCAGUAUAUACACAAGGUAUUUCCUCUUAGUGAGAUGUCUACAUUAAGUAUUCACCGUUUAUACACAGCAUUCGGGCUUGGACUGUAUCUAUGACAGCAGUAACAAUACUAUGAUACUAUCAGUCUUCUCAAUACUAAUGAUCUCUUUAUUUGACCUACCUUGCCCAUUAGCAUGGUACAAUAAUGAUUUGGCAGUACAUUACACAGACCUAAACUGGUCAGGUCAGUCUGUAAAUUUUUAGGGAUAUAGGCUCUCUGUAGACACACAGGUGGCUGUAAAUUUCCAGAAUGGGAACAACAAGUUAGACAUGCUUAACCGUUAAAUGCCAAGAUAAACCCUAUCAACACGUAUCCAUGUGAUGACACAUAGGGGUACGCUACAGUGUGUGACAAAACAAAUCCCUAUUACAUAUACUAGUUUUUAAAGAGCAGGACUGAAGUGCUCACUCUGGCUGUACAGCUGAGGCUCUAGUCAGUAGGAAAGAAGCUGAAGAUCAUGUUAGUAAGGGGAUCCCUUAAGAGCAGGGUUGAACCAAGUUUGUACAAAAUUCAAGCUAAAUGAUACUAUAACAAGACAAUUAUAUUUGGUGAAAUGCUAUCAAUGCCACAAAAGCAUGGGAAAAUUUGACAGAUGGAAAUUACAUGAAAGCAUCUAUUUUUUCGUAUUCAUAAUAUCUAAAUAGGAGACUAAUGCAACAAUCUUGAUUUGUGUACUCAGGGUCAAGAUAACAAUGAAAACUUCAACUAUCAGCGAAGAUCUAACUCCCCAACGUGAGAAUAAUAUUGAACGAUUUCAGUCCAUGUUGAAUCUGAGUCAGAUUGGGAAACAUAGGAAACAAGUCAAACCCAAGUUGGGCACUAAGGACUUUAGGAGAAGUUACUUGGAAUCUAAGAUAAAGUCUUAUGAAUUUUAUCAAGUUGUCUAAAUGAUAAGAUUCACUCAUUGUAGCCCAGCAAUGCAUUGUCUGAAUAUGUGGGUAAGGAAUUUGAGGAAAUGGACGAGCACACACUUUGAUUCAUGAACAGGAAAUAAUAUACAGUGUGACAUCCUAACUAAUAAUUUAAGAUGGAAUACAGGAAAGUUGCAAUCAGGCCAAUGAUGCAGCCAAAGAAACAUUAUGGUGGAGAAAGAAGAGAGGAGCUUUUAACAUGUAGUGAUAAAAUAAAAUUAACAUGAAGAUGUAAUUUGUUAUAUACUAAAUGGAAACAUAGGAAUCUUGCCGCCUACCCAAGUGAAAAAGAGAACCAUUGACAAUGGUCAUAAAAUAUAUUUAUCAAUGGUAGAAGCACAACAAAUUGAUGGACCAGCAACCACCUUGAUGAUUCAAGAUUUAUCAGCAGUUAAAUCAUCAUAGGUAAAAGCCCAUCCACCUGUUUCUUGGCUGCGUUUUGCCUCUCUUCCAAAAUCAUCCAUGGAACUCGAUUCUCCUCAAUGCACUCUAAACAGGAGCCUAAAAAGAAUAAAUAAAGCGUGUACCUGAACAAUAUCAACUUAAAUGGAAAUGCACCUAUGAAGAGGCUCACUCUGACCCUAUAGUGUGCUAAUGUAAUACUAACAAAAGUCCACCAGAAAUGAAGCAUUAAGAAAAUAAAAUCAGUUUCACAUAUGAUGCAAUAGCCCCUGCAUUGAUGACUUGAUUAGAGAUGUCAUGAAUGCUGUAACUUGCUGCUACCUCUGUUUUUGGGUUUAGCAUGGCCAAAAACCCUUGAAAAAGUGUGAAAAUCCCAUAUACAAACAUCUUCAUGAAAGUUGUUCUGCAUGCAUGAGAAAGUAACAGUCGCAACAGUAACAAGUAUCCUGGCAAUAAACCAAGCUAUGGUAUUUAUCCUCCUUUGGUUUGAAAUUUGCUCUUAAUGCUGCUUUAUCACAUAUCAGUAUACCUCAACAGUAACAGGGAAUUUCUGCAUUAUUUUAUAAUUUCUUAACUCUUCUCUUUUCAUUUAAAUAUUAAGUCCUUUAAAUUGUUUUCCUGCGGCUAGCUAAGUGUUUCAACAGUAACGAAGCAGAACAAGGUACCUUCAUAAAGUGCAUCGCAGACUUCUGCUGUUGUCAAAUUCAGUGCCCGUAGAAGAAUUGAUAAAUUUUGCGCCUUUUUGGAAUCAAUGAUUUGUAUAUAUUGUAAAGCAGGAUCUUGAGAUAUCGAAUCUUUUUUCCGCUGUGUUUUGUUUUUUUCAACAUUAUUGUACCCAAAAAGAGUUUCUAUCAUCUCUUCAUUAAACCUGCAAAGCUCAAAAUAAUUUCUUAGUUUUAAAAACAGUCUCUGAUGUUAAUUACUAGCUAACAUAAUUUACAGACUUACUGGAAUGAGCCUGACUUAAUCUGAUGCCAAACCAUCGAUUGAUCAGGGUUUGCAAGUACUUUAUCCCAGAAGAAUGGCUUUAGCUUAGUUUUUGGAGCUUCAGAUUCGGACGCUUCACCACCAGUGCUCGAACUUUCUGGAUGGUUCGGCCCAAGAGGUGAUGGUUUAGUCAUUUUUGACUUCACCGAGAAUGGUUGGGGUGGACGAGGUGGUGCAUUACCCAUUGGAGGAGGUGGUGGCCGAGGAGCAGGCUUGAUGCCAGAAGAUACAGGUGGAGGUGGUGGCAUAGGAGGAGGCGGGCCAGCUCUCCCAGGAGGAGGCUUUAGAGGUGGAAGUGGUGUUACCGGAGCAGUGUUGUCAGAUCCUGCAGGUGAUUCUGUUGAAGGCUUGGAACCUAAAGUUGCCCCUGAUAAUGAAGGUCCAGUUUGUGAGACUUUUCCAAUAUCAGACAGAGUGGACAUGCUCUUUUUUAAAGCUGAAGGUCUUAUAUUGUGGCUCGAAGUAUUAAAAGGCAAAGUUUCAAACUUGUCUUUGCUGAUUGAAUUUUCUAUAGCACUGGAUUUGUGGGAGGAACCUGAUAAUUCAAAAGACAAAAAUGACUAAGUAGUUGAAAAUGAUACUUACAAGGAUAAAAGUCAACUCUAUAAUUAUACAUACUACCUGAAUAAUCACUUAAACUAAUGGAAAGGAGAGGACUAUCAUCCUUUGGUCCAUUUGUUGGGCUAGACUUUUUCUGGUAUUUACGGUAGCAGCAAAAGAGCAAAGCAGCAACAAGAAAUGUUGCUCCUGCUGUUACAACAACAGCAAUAACAACUGAUUUUGAACGAUUUUUUCCCCGUGGAGAUGACGGCACAGGCACAGCCAAAUCAGGACUUCCAGAAUUACGUUCACCAGCUGGGGGUUCAGCACUCGAAUCAGAACUCCGUGGAAUAAAUAAGCGUGGUGCUUCUGCAAGGGGUGGAGGUGCUUUGUCAAGAAGUUGAGUAGGAGCCUCAGAACUGGCAGGUGCUGGAUCAGUAAAUGGUGCUGGACCAUAACUAGGUGGUGAAACUCCAGGGGAAGGCCCAGGUGUUGCUGCUAUUCCAGACAACUCAUCUCUCAGAUAUCUUCUUGGAGCAUCAGGCCAUCUUAAAAGGUAUUCAAGGUAGUCAGCAUACCAACUCUUAGAACCAUCCGUGUCCGCAAAUAUAUGAAACACAAUAUUCUGCUUUGUUAAACAAUCUACAAGAGAUUGUUUCAUUUUGGGAGGAAGGAAACUGAUAGCUUUUUGUAUGUUACUUUUGGCUAAUGAGUGUUUUACUGUGUUGCUAGUCAUGGCACAAAUAGGCAUCUCUUCUGAAUGACACAAGGAAACACCUUCAAGACUUCCUUUCAUGUCCCAAUCCAUCAGAUUCACCUUGCAAUUAAUAAGCAACCACUUUGCCUGCAAUUAUAACAUAUUUUCAGAUUAAGGGAACAAAAACAUAUAUUAACAAUAUGACCAAUUGCAUUCAAUUAUAUAUAGUCAAGUCUUUUCAUGAAUCAACUGCAUAAUAAAUGGUUUCAUAAAUUACAUGUAAAAUGAUAAUUGAUGAAGGAUUCAUGUGCAUGCAUCUUGUCACUUGCAAGCAAAGGCAGUUCUAGAUAGAAGGGGAGAGUCCAAUAGGACGCUAAGUCGCUAAGAUGAUUGGUCGCACUUAGAUAAUAGCAUUUAAACAAAUAUGUAGGGCAAACUGUUAUCGUAGAUUUGAAAAAGUAAGAGCAUUUGAAUGGUAAUUUAAGAUCAAUCUGUGGUAUAAGUAUUCACGUUCCUAAAAAGGAAGCAAGUCAACAUAAUCAAUUUUAAUUUUAGGUCAUCAACUGAUUGCACCCAUACUAUAUAUAUAUUCUCUUCGUUCUCUCCUGCAUCGCUGUCACACACUCCAAGUUCGAUAUUUUUUUAUAAAGGGAUGAUGGAACAUGCGAUGAUACACAAUCAACAGUACUAAUCAGGUGCAACUGGACAGGUGAUACCACUAUCUACAAAAAUGUGGUUACUACUACUAGGAAUGUAAAUAUAUAUACACAAGAGACCUUGAUGUCAUUCUAUGGCAUCGCGGGUCUUUCAUUAGCUCCUAGCCACCUAUCUCAGAACAUGGAGUGUGAAUCAAACCCAUAAGGAACCCUGCCAGUGUGAAUCAAACCCAUAAGGAACCCGGCAGGGUUCCCCCAUGGACUUGGCCCGGACCUAAGUGAAAGUUUAAGUGGUGGACCCUCGCAUCCCAACCAGGGGUAUGCUGGGAUCGUAAAUUUCAGCACCUUACGAUGUUCAUGACCAAUCGGAUCCUGAGGUACCGGUAGGUACCAGAGGAGAUUGCUAUGAUCGUUACUAUAUCCGAAUUGAGGAGAUGCGAAAAAGUAGAACACAAUGAUUUUCGAGCAUCUAUUCUCGUAAAAUACACUACACAAGGAUUCUCUAUCCCGCACCCAGUUCAGUCCUUAUGAUUGAGGUUGAUUGGCUUGUACAAGGCAAGGUACCAAUUGAGGGCCCUUUACUAAGAUCAAUGUAGUUGUAUGUAAACCUAGAGCAAUGGCAUGGCAUGAUGAACCAAAACAAGAUCAUUAAUUGCAUCUAUUGCUAUCGCUUACCGUUGGAGUCAUGAAAUUAUGUGUUUAUAAACCCAGCAUUUACACUCAAGCAUUAAAGUCAAAAUAUGUAUUUAACUUCUGUACAUUAUACCCUAUAUAUUUAUUCUAGCCACUUCAUUACAGUUUAUUUAACAUUUUCAAACCCUUAUCAAAUACCUUACCUGUGUACAAGGUUGUUAAGCACAAGACAAACAUAAGGCACCAAACGUUUAUAUGCCUAAAGCGAACUAAACAAAUUUUAACAUUAGUACAUUACUCAUUAUAAGAAAAAUAUGUUUCAUAUGUUAUCACGUAUGUAACAACAAAUCAUGAUAUAGUCUUACAGAAAAAAUGAAGUCGAGAGCUAUACUGUUCGUCUGUUCUAUAGUCAUACAGUACAGGAAUGAAUAAAAUGUCACUAAACCAAGCAGUGGUUUCCAACCCUACUCAUUAAUGAUAUGAGACCUUAUUUCGCUUGAUCAUCAAAUUUAUUGAACAACUAAUGAAGAUUCAAGAUAAAGAACUACACGUUGAAGUCAUAAUCAUAUGAGCAUAUAGUUUAAACAAUUUAAAGUAAUCUGACGAAUCAAAUAUCUAAACCUAACUACACAGCCCACACUUGAAACAGAUCAAAACAGUUUAACUAUUGAGAACUAACAAUAUAUAUAGAGAUAUGAUAGAAUAAGGUUCCGACUUGUACCAUGUAUUCUUCUAUCUUUGUAGAAACCGAUUCCUGAUUAACUUCAUUGCUCAAUAGCUCUGUUCUAAUCCUUCCUUCCAAACUAUUGAUUGACAGUACACAAAGCAAGGCGAAUAAAGCAACAAUACGAACAAAUCGUCUCAUUUCCAAUAGUUGUAGUAAAAUCAUUGGUGAUAUAAACACAUUUUAUCUUGCUAUACAUUUCAUCGACUCAACCUAAGAUUCAAAUGAACAAAAUGUUGUUUCUAAGGAUAUCCAAUCAAACUUAUCUUUCUAAUGGUUUUAUGAUCCAAACAAUUAUAUUUCCAACAGAUCAGAACAAGCUCAAACGAACUGAUUCCUUCUUUCCAAUCAAGCUCGAACGAGCCAAAAUCCAACCUCUUCAGCUCAAAUUUCUUCUUUUCAAAUCAAAAUUUCUUCAAAUAACCCUAAAAUCUAACCAAAUAUCACCAAUUCUUGAUCAAUUUCUUCAAUUUCAAAACCAAAUCGUAUAUAAUCGAAUCUCUGAAACUACAAUUUCGUCUUUUCUAUAUCAAAUUGAAUGUCGAAAAAUCCAAAAACAAGGUCAAUUUCUACCAAAUUUAAACAAGUUUGUUGUAAAGUUGAAAUGAGAUCUAUUCGUAAAGGUAAUGAUGAAAUGAAAUAGAACUCUAUGUGAUGUUUGACCAGAAAACGAUAUUUUUGUCUUCGAAGAAAAAGGAAGAAAAAUGAUUAAAAUGUGGGUUUUUUUUUUUUUUUAAUUUAUUUAUUAAAAGGGUUUUGGAGAAAAUUCUUUAUUCUUAUGAAGACUGAGUUCAAUAACAACGCGGAAAGAGAAAGAGAAGACGUGAGGAGAAUAUUUAAUCCGAUUUUAUUUAUUUAUUUUCUAAUUUUACAUUAAUCUCGUUUUAAGAAUGAUAAGGAGUUAUUAAUUAUUACAGUAUAUGUAAACUUGUCCAGUUGUCAAAGAUUUUAAUCUAAUCUUCAUUCUUUCUAAUCUAACCUACACUGUUUCAUGAGUUGCAUGCAUGCAUAUUGCUUCUUCACAUCAUGGUUGAAAAUUUUAACACUAAUAACAAACUACAUGUCGGGAUUUUAUUAUGCCGAUGUUUUGAACAUUUGAGUAUGUUUUUAUCCAAUUUCUAGAAAAAAUAGAUAUAUUUUAUUUAUUUAAUAUUUGUGAGUAUCAACGAUAUUUUUAUUUACAUAACAUUGGUGAUCUCAAUCUUAUUAUAUUUUAUUUAUAAAAUUUGGCGAGAAGAUGAGUUAGAUGAAUAAUGUGUUUAAGGAUAUAACAAUCUAUACAAUUCACUAUGUAGUUUUUACUCGAUUUUAUUAACAUAGCAUGGAAUGUUGAGAUGGAUUUGAUUUGUGUGUUAAUGAGAAUAUUUAAUUUUGCUAGUAUAUUACUCGGUGCUAUGUGUGGGUUAGUAUGAACCCUCUAGAAGUUUAUUUAAAUCAAUGUUCUUCACUUGAUUGUCAUUCUCACAUGUAAACACAAGAAAAUAAAUUUCUAAAGGUUUCAUGCUUGGUGAUUACAUUUUCAAGUUCACACCAACUAAUAU